GAAAAAAAGAACUUGGGCUUGAAUGGCUUCUCUCUCUUCCUGGAAAGGCUGGACGUCUUGGGUCUUCAAAUCUGCUAAUGUGGCCUCUGGGAAGGAGAUGAAGAGGUGACAUUUCCCUGAACCCUCUGUCAAGGAGUACCUCUGAGGGAUAAGUUUUCGGAGUUGGAGAUAGACUCCCCGUGGCCUUGUGGGGACCCUGUACGGCCAACCAAGAUGGCAGCUGUCCUUGGUGCUUCUGAAAAUCAGCCCCGGCCAUGCGGAGCCGCCUGGAGAGCCAAGCUGGACGGAGCCCACUGCCGGGGAAGAGAAGGCCAGGUGGUUUCCUAGCGAUGAUGCCUGAGCUGUGCGCUCCAGACGGGGCCCUAAAUGAAUCGCCAGUCUCUAUUUAUGAGGAAGUCAUGAUCUCGCGGUUCGUGAGUUUGAGCCCGGCGUCGGGCUCUGUG
Herpailurus yagouaroundi (jaguarundi) is the source of this 443-nucleotide long non-coding RNA. RefSeq lists it as uncharacterized. The transcript is spliced from 4 exons. The record is from RefSeq and is a predicted model, not a curated record. Lineage: Eukaryota; Metazoa; Chordata; Mammalia; Carnivora; Felidae.